UAAUACAGAGGGUGCAAGCGUUAAUCGGAGUUACUGGGCGUAAAGGGCGCGUAGGCGGCUUAUUAAGUGAGAUGUGAAAUCCCCGGGCUUAACCUGGGAACUGCAUCUUAUACUGGUGAGCUAGAGUACUGUAGAGGGUAGUGGAAUUUCCGGUGUAGCGGUGAAAUGCGUAGAGAUCGGAAGGAACACCAGUGGCGAAGGCGGCUACCUGGACAGAUACUGACGCUGAGGCGCGAAAGCGUGGGGAGCAAACAGGAUUAGAUACCCUGGUAGUCCACGCCGUAAACGAUGAGAACUGGAUGUUGGGAGACUUGAUCUCUUGGUAUCGAAGCUAACGCGAUAAGUUCUCCGCCUGGGGAGUACGGCCGCAAGGUUA
RNAcentral lists this ribosomal RNA (376 nucleotides) under uncultured bacterium. RNAcentral describes it as "bacterial SSU rRNA". It matches the Rfam family "Bacterial small subunit ribosomal RNA", at positions 521 to 896 of the family's 1533-position model. The record is from RNAcentral.